RNAcentral lists this ribosomal RNA (367 nucleotides) under uncultured Thermus sp. Its description in RNAcentral is "bacterial SSU rRNA". It matches the Rfam family "Bacterial small subunit ribosomal RNA", at positions 1014 to 1382 of the family's 1533-position model. The record is from RNAcentral. Lineage: Bacteria; Thermotogati; Deinococcota; Deinococci; Thermales; Thermaceae.
GCCCGCGAGGGAGCCCUAGCACAGGUGCUGCAUGGCCGUCGUCAGCUCGUGCCGUGAGGUGUUGGGUUAAGUCCCGCAACGAGCGCAACCCCGCCGUUAGUUGCCAGCGGUUCGGCCGGGCACUCUAACGGGACUGCCCGCGAAAGCGGGAGGAAGGAGGGGACGACGUCUGGUCAGCAUGGCCCUUACGGCCUGGGCGACACACGUGCUACAAUGCCCACUACAAAGCGAUGCCACCCGGCAACGGGGAGCUAAUCGCAAAAAGGUGGGCCCAGUUCGGAUUGGGGUCUGCAACCCGACCCCAUGAAGCCGGAAUCGCUAGUAAUCGCGGAUCAGCCAUGCCGCGGUGAAUACGUUCCCGGGCCUU